Oreochromis aureus is the source of this 2745-nucleotide RNA transcript. It is a transcript of the gene named filamin-A-like, with no coding region annotated. The record is from RefSeq and is a predicted model, not a curated record. NCBI's taxonomy places the organism in Eukaryota, Metazoa, Chordata, Actinopteri, Cichliformes, Cichlidae. The transcript is spliced from 9 exons.
AUGUCAGUGACGUCAAAUGUGUAAAAUUCAAGGCUGGUCCUUAAAAGCUCCCAACAAGGCAAAAACUGCAAAGCCACACAAGUCCCAGCGUCAGCAGCAGCUGUGAAAAGAAAGUGGAGAAAGGAUGAAUGAGUCUGUGCUUAUCGGCUAUCGGCUCUCUGCUCUCCCCCAAGCUGGCGUUGUUGUUGGUAGCCAUGACAACGGAGAUAGUCCCAGCUUUCUAAAUAAAGGCCCCAACACCCCAAAAAAGAAAAAAAAAAAGAAAGAAAAAAAACUCGGGAUUCCCUGCGCAGACCAGGAAUCCCGCUAGCAGGCCGAAGCUACAGAGAUGAUUUUGACCGAGCGAGACUCGAACCACCGACUGUCUGUGCUUCAACCUGCCAGGGGCCAGCGACAAGUGCUCUGCGCCACCUGCCGGGCCGUGGAAUUCGUGCAAAUUUGAUAUAUUUGACUUCUCUGAAGACAAAUUAUUUUUGAAAAGGAAAAAUAAUAAUUUUAAUGUGAGGCAAAACAUGUAUGGUGCUCGGUAAAGAUGACACGCCGACUCACUUCUUCUUUUUUUGUUUUUGUUUUUUUGUUUGAGAAAGUUUGUUUUCAUAUUAAACCAGUGUCAGUGACGUCAUUCUAUGCGACUACCACAGGUGAAGGUGCUGCCCACCCAUGAUGCCAGCAAGGUGCGUGCAAGUGGAUCCGGCCUUAAAACCACUGGAGUGCCCAGCUCUCUGCCAGUGAAGUUCAACAUUGAUGGCAAAGAUGCAGGCGAGGGACUGCUGGCAGUGUAGAUCGCUGACCCAGACGGGAAGCCCAAGAAGCAAAUAUCUGUGACAACCAUGAUGGGACCUACCUGGUGUCUUAUGUACCAGACAUGACUGACAGGUACACCACACUCAUUAAGUACGGAGGAGACGAGAUCCCUUAUUCACCCUACUGAAUCAGGGCUCUGCCCACCCGAGAUGCCAGCAAGUGCACUGUCAUUGAAUGUUGUCCAGUGGCCAGCUGCUCAGUCCAUCCAGACUCCUCUCCAUAUGCAACAGUGAUGCCGGCUCUCUCCAAGUGAUUCCUUCAUCAUCAACAUCUGCGUCCACGAUCCACCAGCUCAACAGCAACAUCUGUCAGCUGUGCAUCCAACUGGAGGCCUUCGCCUGCUGUGCUGAGGCGCUGGGCCGCGAUUUCCGUCCCUUGUUGACGACCUGGCUGUAUCCUGUGCUGGAGAAAGCUGGUGAGGAGACGCUGCUGGUCAGCCAGGCGGCGCUGAGCUCCAUAUGGAACAUCAAUAAGGUCUGUGGAUACGCUUCCCUCAAGGAACUGAUCAAUGAGAACUCUGACUACCUGCUUAAUGACAUAUCACUCAACCGUCAGAGGCUCAGCCAGCAUCCACAGGUAGUUAUGACGUGUUUUUUGUUUUUAACCCAAAAUGGACACAGAAAUAACUGCUGGAGGGUUUACCCGAUUUCCUCCUUGAUCUGCUUAAGCCUGUGCUGCCCUGAGCUUGUACUGUAUUUCAUUAUAAUCCUGUCUUGUUGGCCAGGCUCCACGGGUGUUGACAGUUCUGUUGACUCACUCUGACUGCAGCCUGCUGGUCGGGGACAUCGUUCAGGAUCAAUAAAUUGUUUCUUGCAUUUUUGAUUUAAUGAUUGUGUUUAGGAUUAUUUCAGAAACAUGUUUAGAGGAUCUUUGUAAGCCUGUAUUUGCUUUAAAAGAAGGGAAGCACUUCUUCAUUCUACAGAAAAGGUGACACAUUACAGAUGAGUUCAUAAAAAGUGUCUCUGUCACUCUUUCAAGGCUCUGUCACUUUUUCUUUUUUACUGGAACAGCAUGGUAAAGUAGGCCUAGGCUGCCAUCUUGUGGCAGUGUGUUGUUACUACAACAUAUGAAAUUGUGUUUCUAUUGGAAAUCUAAUUCAGCGCCACCGAGCCGCUCUCUCAGUUACAAACUGAACCUGUUUUUUUAGACAUAUAAAUCACUAAGCACAGUGAAGCUUUUGGUUUUGUCAAAGUGUUUCUUAUUCAAAAUGCAUGUUGAUUUUUAUAAGGUUGAAGAGCAGUUAGCAGUGCAUUGAUGGACAUCUUUAAACUAUUAAUUGAAGAAUCUUUGGUCAUGAACUAGAAACGUGAGCUCCAGUCCCAUGGAGGCUAAGAUUGGCACUGAGGCUGGCCAGCAGAAGGUGAGGGCCUGGGGUCCUGGACUGGAAGGAGGCGUUGUUGGUAAAUCUGCUGACUUUGUGGUGGAGGCUGUUGGAGACAAUGUUUCUCUCAGACCAAGAUUGAAUGUGAUGACAAGGGUGAUGGAUGGUGUGACAUGCGCUGCGGGCCCACAGAACCAGAAUAGUUUUCUCUAGGGUUAAGGCGUACGGUCCAGGCCUUCAGAGCAGUGGUCUGGCUGUUGGAAAACCCACUGAAUUCACAGUUGAUGCCAAGCAAGGAGGAAAAGCUCCUCUGAAAAUUAUAGCCCAGGAUGGUGAAGUCAAUUCUGUGGAUGUCCAGGUUAAGGAUAAUGGCAACAGCACAUACACCUGCACCUACACCCCACGUAAGCCUGUGAAGCAGACUGUGAUGGUCUCCUGGGGAGACUGAGAGUCCAUUCAGGAUGAAUAUCGGAGCAGGCUGUCAUCCAAACAAGGUGAAGGUCUCCGACCCUGGGAAACAUAUUACAGGGAAACUUAUUCAACCCACCUGCUGUUUGAGGCUAAAAAUGACUGUAGAGCAUUACCUGCAAAGGUAACAUGCUAACACAGCCUUUGUCCUC